Molecule: ribosomal RNA, 243 nt
Filed under: uncultured bacterium
Lineage: Bacteria
Description: partial 16S ribosomal RNA
Rfam family: Bacterial small subunit ribosomal RNA
Source: RNAcentral
UAGUCCACGCCGUAAACGUUGGGCGCUAGGUGUGGGAUCCUUCCACGGAUUCCGUGCCGCAGCUAACGCAUUAAGCGCCCCGCCUGGGGAGUACGGCCGCAAGGCUAAAACUCAAAGGAAUUGACGGGGGCCCGCACAAGCGGCGGAGCAUGUUGCUUAAUUCGACGCAACGCGAAGAACCUUACCAAGGUUUGACAUGCAGGGAAAAGCCGUAGAGAUACGGUGUCCGUAAGGGUCCUGCAC